This 1739-nucleotide long non-coding RNA is filed under the name Rattus norvegicus (Norway rat). Its description in RNAcentral is "long non-coding RNA NONRATT026924". Lineage: Eukaryota; Metazoa; Chordata; Mammalia; Rodentia; Muridae. The record is from RNAcentral.
UCCAGCCAAAGGGAGCUUGCUUUGGGAGUGCCAAAAUUGCAUCAUCCAAGUACUAGUUUAUUGUGUGAGUUCCUUAAGUUCACUUUGUUGUGUUUUAUUUCAGCGAGCUCUUGCUAAAACUGGAGCAGAGUCGAUCAGUUUGCUUGAGCUAUGUCGAAACACAAACCGAAAGCAGGCAGCAGCAAAGUUCUACAGCUUUUUGGUUCUUAAAAAGCAGCAAGCCAUCGAGCUCACACAGGAAGAGCCGUACAGUGACAUCAUUGCAACACCUGGACCAAGGUUCCACAUCAUCUGAGGAGCUAGACGCUUUAGAGCUAGUGUUAACUCACUAGGACGUACAAAUUGCCCCAUGUGUAGGGCACCAGAACCCUUUAAGGAAGUUUUUAGAUUUUUGUUUGUACAAAAUCUUUGCCUUUUCUUUCUUCAUUUUUUUCCCCCAGUGUUUCUAAUUUUGUCGACCAUCUUUUAAGGGAAACUGCUUAUUUGGGUUGGGUUUGUAUUCCUGGAGAAGACAGUACCCCCAAGAACCCAGAAGACUUUUAACAGUUCAGAGCAGAUGUGUGCAAUAUUGGUGCAUGUAAGAAUAUGGAGUAACAGUCAAAAGUCCCCAUUUUUAUGUUAGUUUUCCAUUACUUUGUUUAAAAGAAAAACCUGCCUAGGAAAAUGCCUGACACUUUAAGAACUGUGGUUUGAGUCCCUUGACAGGAAGAGAAAAAUGUCUUCCCAUCAGUGAAACCAACAGUCUGGUUAACCACUGUACCUGGGGAUAGUAUGUGAGGCAUCGUGCUUGUCUUCUUGAUCAUGUUUUAAAGUAAGUCAGUUCAUAAUGAGCAAGAACUUGUGAGUUUGUGCUGACUGAUCCUCUUCGACUAUUAUGUUCUGAAAUCAUUCCGUGACUCUUAGGAACUCUGACGCUAGUGCAGCUCAGAAUGACAGACUUCUGCAGUGGCGGGACUCCUCAAGGGCUGCAGAUCGCUUUCUCAAAGGUGUCUGGAUGUUUGCUUGAGUAAUGAGAUCAUGAAAAUAGAAAUUCCCCUGCCUGCUGAAGGGCAAACCAAUGAGAAACUACCCCAGAUUGACUUCCUUUAAGCAAACAGUGCUGUAAAAACUAAUGGCUUCUCUGAUAUUUAUUAUAAAUGUUAGUACUGAGCUUCCAAUGCUGCACACUCCUGUGUUUGAAACUAUUUUAAUAACUUUGCAACUGUAAUCCUGUAUCAGUUUCCUAUAAUUUAAAUGGAAAAAAACAUCCUAAUAAAGGCUUUAUUAUUAACAGACCAGAUAGUACCAGAAAUUAUGUGACUAUAUAAAUAUCAAAACGUGUUCACUUUGUAGGACAAAAUUAUGUUGAAAGUUCUAGCUUAAGUGUUGGCACUUUUAUGGGGGGGAAAUCAGUUUUAAAACUAAGACUUCCAUGUAUACCCAGUAAUUUAAAAUUAUGUGAAAUAUUUUAAAUUUGUGAACUCGUAAUUACUAUUUUAAUGAUUGAGCUUCUCGAGAAUGGUAAGUGUAUAGAUGCUCUUGCGGUUUCUUUUCAGUAAGACGUGCCUGGAAACCAUGGAUCCCCUUUGUAAAAAGACACUGUAGAUAAUUGAAUGUUGAUUAUAGAAAGGCCAUUAGUUUCUUGUUACACAUUUUGUUAGUCCAGUUUUUGUCGCUUAUUGGGUUUAAUAUUGUUCUUGAAAAUAGUCAAUGCUAUGUUAUGUAUAACUUUUCUAAUAAAAGUUGUGUUUCAAGCUGUA